Small nucleolar RNA from Ornithorhynchus anatinus (platypus), 138 nucleotides. The record is from RefSeq and is a predicted model, not a curated record. NCBI's taxonomy places the organism in Eukaryota, Metazoa, Chordata, Mammalia, Monotremata, Ornithorhynchidae.
CCCCUCUCAGGUUCACACCUGGAGAGUUUCCAAUACUCUACCAGUCUUGGCUACGGGAGGGAGACUCACAUAGCGGCAUACCCAUUCCAUUCCUAGCUUGGCCAGUGGCUAGCGAGUGGAAGGCAACCUGCUACAAGU